CGGAGCCUGGGGAACCGGGAAUCCCAACCGCCCCAAGCAGGGAAGUUUGAACCGAUAAUGCUACCUCAGCAGAAUAUCCUUGGCACAAAUAUAAGAUUGUGAUAAGAACAGAAGCUGCCUAUUCUAUGGAUUUACAAGGAAUCAGGACUCCUUUGAGAAAUGGCUGAUUCAACAUUAAGGCCU
Long non-coding RNA from Ailuropoda melanoleuca (giant panda), 183 nucleotides. RefSeq lists it as uncharacterized. NCBI's taxonomy places the organism in Eukaryota, Metazoa, Chordata, Mammalia, Carnivora, Ursidae. The record is from RefSeq and is a predicted model, not a curated record. The transcript is spliced from 3 exons.